RNAcentral lists this small nucleolar RNA (136 nucleotides) under Spermophilus dauricus (Daurian ground squirrel). Its description in RNAcentral is "Small nucleolar RNA SNORA70 (ENSSDAG00000023002.1)". It matches the Rfam family "Small nucleolar RNA SNORA70". Rfam says of the family: snoRNA U70 seems to be exclusive to mammals and is a member of the H/ACA class of snoRNA which contain H (ANANNA) and ACA box motifs. H/ACA box snoRNAs are involved in the conversion of uridines to pseudouridines (5-ribosyluracil) a constituent of structural RNAs (transfer, ribosomal, small nuclear, and small nucleolar). Lineage: Eukaryota; Metazoa; Chordata; Mammalia; Rodentia; Sciuridae. The record is from Rfam by way of RNAcentral.
CUGUAGUUAAUUAAGCUGACUGAUUGGAUUCCUUUACUAAUGGUAACCCACUGUGUAAGGCUGCAAACAGCAGUAUCUUUAGAAAUAUGUGGCCUGUUGCUUGAAUGGGUUGCCCUAAGGGACCUUGGAGACAGUG